UACGUAGGGUGCGAGCGUUAAUCGGAAUUAUUGGGCGUAAAGAGCUCGUAGGCGGUUUGUCGCGUCUGCUGUGAAAUCCCGAGGCUCAACCUCGGGCCUGCAGUGGGUACGGGCAGACUAGAGUGCGGUAGGGGAGAUUGGAAUUCCUGGUGUAGCGGUGGAAUGCGCAGAUAUCAGGAGGAACACCGAUGGCGAAGGCAGAUCUCUGGGCCGUAACUGACGCUGAGGAGCGAAAGCGUGGGGAGCGAACAGG
This 253-nucleotide ribosomal RNA is filed under the name uncultured bacterium. Its description in RNAcentral is "partial 16S ribosomal RNA". It matches the Rfam family "Bacterial small subunit ribosomal RNA", at positions 524 to 776 of the family's 1533-position model. The record is from RNAcentral.